RNAcentral lists this ribosomal RNA (253 nucleotides) under Salmonella enterica subsp. enterica serovar 1,4,[5],12:i:-. RNAcentral describes it as "partial 23S ribosomal RNA". It matches the Rfam family "Bacterial large subunit ribosomal RNA", at positions 541 to 796 of the family's 2925-position model. Lineage: Bacteria; Pseudomonadati; Pseudomonadota; Gammaproteobacteria; Enterobacterales; Enterobacteriaceae. The record is from RNAcentral.
AAAAAGAACCUGAAACCGUGUACGUACAAGCAGUGGGAGCACCCUUCGGGGUGUGACUGCGUACCUUUUGUAUAAUGGGUCAGCGACUUAUAUUCUGUAGCAAGGUUAACCGUAUAGGGGAGCCGGAGGGAAACCGAGUCUUAACCGGGCGUUAAGUUGCAGGGUAUAGACCCGAAACCCGGUGAUCUAGCCAUGGGCAGGUUGAAGGUUGGGUAACACUAACUGGAGGACCGAACCGACUAAUGUUGAAAAA